UGAGCUCUUUAGAAGGUUAGGUCUGGC
RNAcentral lists this non-coding RNA (27 nucleotides) under Rattus norvegicus (Norway rat). The record is from RNAcentral. Lineage: Eukaryota; Metazoa; Chordata; Mammalia; Rodentia; Muridae.